AGAGUUUGAUCCUGGCUCAGAUUGAACGCUGGCGGCAUGCCUUACACAUGCAAGUCGAACGGCAGCGCGGGAGCAAUCCUGGCGGCGAGUGGCGAACGGGUGAGUAAUAUAUCGGAACGUGCCCAGUAGUGGGGGAUAGCCCGGCGAAAGCCGGAUUAAUACCGCAUACGACCUACGGGUGAAAGGGGGGGAUCGCAAGACCUCUCGCUAUUGGAGCGGCCGAUAUCAGAUUAGGUAGUUGGUGGGGUAAAGGCCUACCAAGCCUGCGAUCUGUAGUUGGUCUGAGAGGACGACCAGCCACACUGGGACUGAGACACGGCCCAGACUCCUACGGGAGGCAGCAGUGGGGAAUUUUGGACAAUGGGCGCAAGCCUUAUCCAGCAAUGCUGCGUGCAGGAAGAAGGCCUUCGGGUUGUAAACUGCUUUUGUCAGGGAAGAAAUCCUCUGGGUUAAUACCUCGGGGGGAUGACGGUACCUGAAGAAUAAGCACCGGCUAACUACGUG
RNAcentral lists this ribosomal RNA (504 nucleotides) under uncultured Aquabacterium sp. RNAcentral describes it as "bacterial SSU rRNA". It matches the Rfam family "Bacterial small subunit ribosomal RNA", at positions 8 to 507 of the family's 1533-position model. Lineage: Bacteria; Pseudomonadati; Pseudomonadota; Betaproteobacteria; Burkholderiales; Sphaerotilaceae. The record is from RNAcentral.